AGCAGCCGCGGUAAUUCCAGCUCCAAUAGCGUAUAUUAAAGUUGUUGCAGUUAAAAAGCUCGUAGUUGAAUUUCGGGGUUCUACCGUUGGUCGGGCUUUGUCUGUACUGGCGUGUAGAAUUUCUACCUUCUGGGGAACCAUCAUGUUAUUAAUUUAACGUGGUGGGAAACCAGGACCUUUACCUUGAAAAAAUUAGAGUGCUCCAGGCAGGCCUAUGCUCGAAUACACUAGCAUGGAAUAAUAGAAUAGGACGUGUGGUUCUAUUUUGUUGGUUUCUAGGACCGCCGUAAUGAUUAAUAGGGACAGUCGGGGGCAUCAGUAUUCAAUUGUCAGAGGUGAAAUUCUUGGAUUUAU
Molecule: ribosomal RNA, 354 nt
Filed under: uncultured Racocetraceae
Lineage: Eukaryota; Fungi; Glomeromycota; Glomeromycetes; Diversisporales; Gigasporaceae
Description: SSU rRNA
Rfam family: Eukaryotic small subunit ribosomal RNA
Source: RNAcentral